GCGACUUACUAUCGUGAGCACGACGGGCUAUGAUCUCCGAAGUGUCAUGAGAUAUGCAUUUAAUAAAGUUUGUAAGUAAGAGGUUGUUGGUGGUAGUAAUAGUGUGAGACUUGUGGUUGUUUAACACAACAUAAGUUCAUAACAUUUUAUAAAAAAAAACAAUAAAAAAAAAAGAAAAUCAAAAUCCUUAUAAUAGAAUU
RNAcentral lists this long non-coding RNA (200 nucleotides) under Salvia miltiorrhiza (redroot sage). Its description in RNAcentral is "long non-coding RNA (SMIL_LNC013066)". The record is from RNAcentral. Lineage: Eukaryota; Viridiplantae; Streptophyta; Magnoliopsida; Lamiales; Lamiaceae.